ACCUUCAAAAUAAUGAAAUUACAGGUUUUUCCCAACAUGUCUGGUUAAGUAACAUCUUUUUCUCUCUCUUUUCCACCUUGCCUCUUCUCUCUCUCUCUCUCUCUCUCUCUCUCUCUCUCUCUCUCUCUUUCCUAGCCAACAACACUGUCUCAAAGUCUCCCUCCAUACUACAGGAAGACAUAAUGAGCAUAAUGAGAACAGAGCCAAAAAUCUCUCUUUAAGCCAAAUAGAGCCCUGAUCAGGAAGCCAAAUCUUUCAUAUUCUGGAUUCUAGAGCUGUGAGGAAAUGAAUUUAUGUUAUCUGAUCCAUUCAAACUGUGGUUCUUCAAUAUAACACCCUAGCUCACUAACAAUUGCAGUUGUAAAAAUUCAGGAAAGAGUUUCCUACAUCAGUGCAGUACCUCAACCCCGGUACUGAUGAUAUCCAUGGGUUUUCAUUAGAGUCCAGUAUCGUUUUCUUUUUAAACUAAAAUAAAUGUGAAAUCUGUCUGUCUCCUUGGGACAAGGCCCUCAUUUCUAGGGUACUGUCUCCAUCCUCUUUCAGAACUUAGUUUUGUUUGCUUGUUUCGCCAUUUCUUGUUUCUCCUUGCUGUAUAUCAUCAGAAAUCUGUGCCAACCCCUGGAUACUGAUGCUGGCAUAGUGACAAUAGUUCCUGACCUCACACAUCCCAACUUGGUACUUGUUGCUAGCACUUUUCAGCUUCAAAAAGUUUAUUAAAUAAAUUUUAAAGGCUUUGAUCCCUGGUUAGGUCAAAAUGAAUUAGAGUCCUGCAAUUUAUUUUGUCCAUAUUCCCUAAGCUAAUUACUCUUCAGUUUGUCUAUUCAGGUCUUUUUUUUUUCCCCACAAAUAACUAUCCUUGCUUAAGUUUAUGUGGCUCCUUGCGGCAACACUGCAUGGUCAAACCAUCUCUCAAAGUUUGCGUCUGAUGCUUUAAACAUAGUGUUGGAGGUAAACUUAAUGAGCUCAUUUUAUAGUCUCAUAUAAGUCAUGACAGAAAUAUUAAAUCCAGGGGUGAAGACAGAAUUUCUUUGGCCAUCACAGACUUUGUUGAAUUGUGAAGUUUAAAACAAAUCACAGCAGAGUGUUUACUAACCUAUGGUCUAUGGGGCCACCAUUACAUAGUGUACUGGUAAAUAUGUCCUGGCAUUAGAAACACCAGUCUUGCUCCAUGUAAAAUAAAUACCCAUAUGUCCUUCCUUUAUAUAUUCCAUUAACAAUGAAGAAAACCCGAGGCUAUGCUGUUGGUAAAAUAAUCAUAUGGUUCUCACUCAUUUCUGUUAAAAAAUAGUAGGAAUCCUUCUUACAAAUAAUGUCUCGUGAGGACACUAUGCAAGAAACUUGUGUAAUUCUUUACAUGAACAAGUCCCACUGGUGGCUCAUUCACAGAGUUAUAAUCUGUCUGAUCCAUCCCCAGCUGUCAAAUCAGGAACAUUUAGGCCUAGGGAAUGUGAGACAGGAUGAAUUUUCUUACAUGAUCCACUGCAGCCUUCACUCAUCUUCAGUCUCCUUGUUUCCCUACUUUACAAUGUUGUAAUAAAAAAAAAUCCAUUAGCCAAAUGGAUCUUGUCUUCUGAGGUGUCUUCGGUGUCUCUUCUGUCAGUGGCAGCCUGUCAACAUAGCCACUGCCAUUUGACAAAUGCCCUGCUCCUCAUUAGAAAAAUCUUACUCUUUGGGCAAGUGACAUUUAAGUGUCUGUUUUUCUUUUCUCGCUAUUUAACCUUUACUUCAAUUUGAUGUGAUUUAGUGUUUUCCUUCCUUAACUUGGUUAAAUUUCCACUUCUGACACAUUUUAAAAUUACAAUGGAAGACUUAGGGCCAAUGAUUUAUUUCUCCCCUCCUUCCUUUACUUUCCUGUCUCUUUUCCUACUUUCCUCUGUCUGUCUCUCCUUCCAUCAUCCUUCCUCCCUCCAUUUCUCAUAUUUAUAAUAUGUCAUCUGUUUCCAUGAAUAUUCAAUGCACACUUUCUGCUAAGAUGUUUUUUCCAUCAAUCAUAUCUGGUGUUUGUGAAUGAUACAUUCAUUAUGCCAUCAUACAUGAGACAUAUGUAGCAGACCUCCUUUUUCAAGGGUUUGAGGAACAUCCCAAAGUGACUGCAGAAAGAUUUUAAGAUCCACAGGACAUGGUCAAAACAGUAUCUAUUGGACUUGACAGGACUGUGCACUCAUGAGAGAUCAUAGUAGUGGUAGCCUGUAUAAGGUCUGCACAAAACCAAUCAAGUCAAUAUUUCAGCUUGGAAUGGGAAGGAGGUCAUGAAAACUACCUUUAUCUAUAGAGCUAUUCACCAUUGGUUGUUGCUAGGGAAAGAAGAGUCAGGUGUUAUAACUUAAAGGUCAACCAUGCUCUACAUGGCACACACCCCUGAAUAUAUGAACAUGACAUAUUGAAAUCUGUGUUAUGAAAUAAAGAAUGCAUGAAGUUUAGAGGAAAUGGGAAUGUAUGGAGUCUAAGUAGCAUUAGAGGGAGGUUUAAGGUUUGCAUAUGGUCAAACUAUUUACAUAGUAUACUAUUUACAUAGUAUCCCUGUAUGAAACUCUCUAAGGAUUAACUUAAAAAACUUAAAUGAAUUUUACCCCUGCUAUUAUAUCAUACAGACAUACAUACAUAUAUAAGAUUACAACUCCAGACUUUGUAAUAUCUAAGAGCAAAGAUUUCCUUGUUGCCUACUGUAGCUGGAUAACUACAACCUAUGUAUUGAGGGGGGAGCGGUAUAUACAGUGAAAACUAACUAAGCAAACCAAAACACACAAGCAUCAAAAUAUAGAAAUUCACGGAUAAAUUUCUUAGCUGUUGAAGGAAGGUGUAGGAGAAGGUUAGGUAGAACCACAUAUCUUUUAGCCCUAAUGCUAUUGCCAUGCUGGUUCUAACAUGUAUGGAUAAUACUCUUCUCCUGAAAGCCCAAACUCAGACAACUAUCUAGGCUUUCCCAUCAUUCCCAACUGUGGUAGGGAUAUACAAGAGGAAUCAAGAUAGGGAAUACAAUAAUUAGCAAUAUGGAUUUCAGUACAAUUUUCAGGAAUUGCUAGCCUGAUUAGAGGGCAUGUAGAUUUAUCUCCUAGAAAUACUUUUGGUUCGUAUGAUCAUAAAGAUGGUAUCAUACAGGAAAAAACAAGAUUUGCAUGUCAAAGACUGGUAACAAGUUCAAACCAGACUGUUUCUACUCAUCGGUUCCAUUUACUAAUUUUAAAUGUACACAAGUAAGGUCCAUUUUUACUUUACGUUUGCACUCAUACAUGCAAGCUACUUAUAAUAUUCCAGUCAUAUUUGAGGAGUGAGAGACAAAUUUCAAGGAAUUUCACUCUAGAGCCAGGCUAGACAUCAGAGGGCCAUUUAUAUUUCCUUGGUUUAAAAUGAGCAGUGACAUGGGCCAGUUGAUCACCUGCAUGGUAUGACUCUACUUGAAAUCAUAUCCUCAUUCACAACUUGUACUUUACAUUAUCCAAUUUUAUCACCAAGAUUCCCC
Molecule: long non-coding RNA, 3460 nt
Filed under: Mus musculus (house mouse)
Lineage: Eukaryota; Metazoa; Chordata; Mammalia; Rodentia; Muridae
Description: long non-coding RNA chr5:49070002-49073462
Source: RNAcentral